This is a long non-coding RNA of Vitis vinifera (wine grape), 266 nucleotides long. RefSeq lists it as uncharacterized. The transcript is spliced from 2 exons. NCBI's taxonomy places the organism in Eukaryota, Viridiplantae, Streptophyta, Magnoliopsida, Vitales, Vitaceae. The record is from RefSeq and is a predicted model, not a curated record.
AGAGGACACCACCGUUGGAUUUGAGCUUCAAGUAUUGUAAUAUCUUACAAGGGAAGUGGCCUUGGCUGCUUAAAGUUACAGCAAGAGUAUGAUUGGUAGGAGAUGACCCAUCCAUGGAGCAUCUUCGAUCCAAAACAACCUUUCAAGUGAAGAGAAGUAAUUAAGUUUCUGGUAUGAAAGCAAGUCCACCAUCGUAUUGGAUUUCAUGAUAAAUAAAUGUGAAGUUGUGAUUCAUAUGUGAUGAGAACACAUUCCAUUACAUAUAA